UAUUAAAAGUUCCUUUCAUUUCUAUUAUUAAAAAUUAGUAUGGUUGAUGGAAUAAUUAAAUAAUUACACAUUGCAUGACGUGUGUAUCUCAUGAUGAUGUAUAAAGAUUAGUUUUUAAUACUAAAAAUGAAUAGAAUUUUAAUA
This 144-nucleotide microRNA precursor is filed under the name Gossypium arboreum. RNAcentral's name for it is "MIR7502 microRNA precursor family". It matches the Rfam family "MIR7502 microRNA precursor family". The record is from Rfam by way of RNAcentral. Lineage: Eukaryota; Viridiplantae; Streptophyta; Magnoliopsida; Malvales; Malvaceae.